AGAGUUGAUCCUGGCUAGGACGAACGCUGGCGGCGUGCUCAUACAUGCAAGUCGAACGAGAAGUUACCUCGGGUAAUGGAAAGUGGCGGACGGGUGGAGUAAUGUGUAGAGAAUCUGCCCUAGAGUGGGGGACAACAGUUGGAAACGACUGCUAAUACCGCAUAUGAGCGUAGCUGGAAUGCUAUUCUUGAAAACUUCGGUGCUCUGGGAUGAGUCUGCAUCUGAUUAGCUAGUUGGCGGUGUAAUGGACCACCAAGGCGACGAUCAGUAGCUGGUUUGAGAGGAUGAUCAGCCACAAUGGGACUGAGACACGGCCCAUACUCCUACGGGAGGCAGCAGUAGGGAAUUUUGCGCAAUGGGCGAAAGCCUGACGCCAGCAACGCCGCGUGAUUGAAAAAGCCCUUCGGGGUGUAAAGAUCUGUCAGUAGGGACGAAACUUGACGGUACCUACAGAGGAAGCAUCGGCUAACUCCGUGCCAGCAGCGGC
This 487-nucleotide ribosomal RNA is filed under the name uncultured bacterium. RNAcentral's name for it is "bacterial SSU rRNA". It matches the Rfam family "Bacterial small subunit ribosomal RNA", at positions 9 to 518 of the family's 1533-position model. The record is from RNAcentral.